GAAGAUGGCGCUCGCCACCACAGACUGAUAAAACAUCUGCAGCAUCUUAUUGCAGACGUGAAAGGACCUGAGCCUCCUUAAGAAGUAAAGCCGGCUCUGCCCCUUCUUGUAAAUGGCGUCUGUGUUGGUGGACCAGUCCAGCUUAUUCCAGUUCCAGUGUA
This is a long non-coding RNA of Melanotaenia boesemani (Boeseman's rainbowfish), 161 nucleotides long. RefSeq lists it as uncharacterized. The transcript has 3 exons. NCBI's taxonomy places the organism in Eukaryota, Metazoa, Chordata, Actinopteri, Atheriniformes, Melanotaeniidae. The record is from RefSeq and is a predicted model, not a curated record.